Molecule: long non-coding RNA, 1138 nt
Organism: Felis catus (domestic cat)
Lineage: Eukaryota; Metazoa; Chordata; Mammalia; Carnivora; Felidae
Exons: 5
Source: RefSeq, a predicted model, not a curated record
AAGUCUGGCGGACGAGACUCCGCCCCUUGUCCUGGCUAGGGAGCCGGACCUUAGGUGGAAGUGCCUUGGGGUUUGGGGGGGGGGAAGGGGGUACUGCUGGCUUAGUUAUUGCCCCCACGUCCCUAGCACCUCUAUGCUCUGUCCCGAAGCACCCCCCUCCCCCAAUCUCGCAGUCCUCCCUCCGACCUCCCGCCGCCAGAUAAGUCAGAGCGACUGGAAAGGGCACGCAGAGCCCUGGGGACCAGGUCAGAGAAACUGAUCAAAGAUACUGGAAAGUCGUGAAGAUGGGGAUGUGAGGGGACACCAGGAGACAGAAGCAGAGAGGCGGAAGGGAGCAGAGCGAGGCCAAGACCGGUCAGAGUGUCCACCCCUCCCCGGGGGGGGGGGGGCGCAGGGUAGCCUCGUCCCGCAGGUGCAUCAGAGGCCUCAGCUCACGCUCAGCGGCUGGCCGGCAGGCAACCAGGCCCCCACAGGGCAGCACGCAGAAAGAAAAACUCCAGAAAGAAAGGUAGAGGAGGCAGAGAGAAGUUGGCUGUCUACAGUUCAGGAAGAAAGCUCUCGCCAGAAGACGAAUCUGCCAGCACCUGGAUCAUCACGGACUUCUAGCCUCAGAACCAUGAGAAAUGAAUGGGAAGCCAGCUUCCUUGUCUUGAGAGACUCAGCCAGCCCUGUGGAGAAGCCCAUUCAACAAAGACCUGAGGCCUCAAUCGAACCACGGGGAAGUGAGUCCUGUCACCAACCAUAGGAUGAAGGACAAGGUCCCGCCAGCAGGAGGGGAAAGCGAGAGCAAAGCCCGAGGCAAGCAACAGCCGGCUUCACCAGAACAAGCAGUUCUGGGUUGCACGCAUCCAUCCGGUUCUUUGCAGACAUAAUCCUAUCAAGCUGAAGUCACCCUAAUCAAGUAUGACCGAUGUUCUAUACGGAGAGGGAACUUUGGACAUGACACAGAGGGGAAGGCCGUGUGACAACAGAGGCAGAGACUGGGUGAUGUCGCAGCAGCUGAGGUUGAUGACACCACCAGGGGCUGGAAGACGGGAAGGAGGGCUUCUCUACUGGUUUCAGAGGGAGCAGACCCUGCUGACACCUUGAUUUUGGCCUCUGAACAGUGAGACAAUAAACUUGUUGUUUUAAAUCACCA